CCUACGGGUGGCAGCAGUGAGGAAUAUUGGUCAAUGGACGAGAGUCUGAACCAGCCAAGUAGCGUGAAGGAUGACUGCCCUAUGGGUUGUAAACUUCUUUUAUAGGGGAAAAAGAUGUGCCACGUGUGGGAUUUUGUAUGUACCAUAUGAAUAAGGAUAGGCUAACUCCGUGCCAGCAGCCGCGGUAAGACGGAGUUUCCGAGCGUUAUCCGGAUUUAUUGGGUUUAAUGGGAGCGUAGGUGGAUUGUUAAGUCAGUUGUGAAAGUUUGCGGCUCAACCGUAAAAUUGCAGUUGAAACGGGCAGUCUUGAGUACAGUAGACGUGGGCGGAAUUCGUGGUGUAGCGGUGAAAUGCUUCGAUAUCACGCAGCACUCCGAUUGCGAAGGCAGUUCACUGGACUGCACCUGACACUGAGGCUCGAAAGUGUGGGUAUCAAACAGGAUUAGAUACCCCAGUAGUC
RNAcentral lists this ribosomal RNA (460 nucleotides) under uncultured bacterium. Its description in RNAcentral is "partial 16S ribosomal RNA". It matches the Rfam family "Bacterial small subunit ribosomal RNA", at positions 338 to 795 of the family's 1533-position model. The record is from RNAcentral.